AAAGCAGGCAGAAGAACAUGGAAGGACCCGACUUGCUGUCUCUCGGCCUUCAUCUUUCUCCCGUGCUGGAUGCUUCCUGCCUUCGAACAUCGGACCCCAGGCUCUUCAGCCUUGGGACUGUUGGACCUUCAGCCACAGACUGAAGGCUGGACUGUUGGCUUCUGAGGUUUUGAAACUCGGGCUGGCUUCCUUGCUCCUCAGCUUGCAGACGGCCUAUUGUGGGACCUCACCUUGUGAUUGUGACAGCUUGGACCCAGGGGGCUCCCACCUGCUGGAGGCUGGAGGUGGGCAGCAGCCGCCGGAGGAACCAGCCCCACACAGGACCAGCCGACUGCAUGAAGGACGCUUCUCAUCCCAUCACUUCCUUUUUAAUCAACCAGCCCCGUGCUGGCUGGAAUGCCCCUCUGGGGGCAGAUGUCUGCAGUGCCCUUUCAGAAGCCAGCACAUUUGGGAGGAACCGGAAUCUGUCACUGGGCACCGACAUUGUUCACUGCUGGAGGCCAAGCUGCUGAAAAUGUAAAUUUCUAAUUAAAAUAGAAAUUAAUCCUCUCUCCCAACUACCUGCUAUCUUCAGCUGGAUGAGCAAAAGUUUUAUGCUGCUAAUUAAUGUUAUCACCCGGAAGCUUUAUUUACAUAAGCAGAUAGAAUUCACACGGCUUUGCAGGAGCUGAUGGAGAAAGUAAAAAAAAAAAAAAAAAAAAAUUAAGUUAAAAAAUUAAUUACCUUGAUCCUCCGUCUUGUAUUCUAAUCACACACUGGCAGAGGUCCCUCUUCGGCUUUCCCCAAAACCCACCGUUGGUGCUUUCUUUGAUGAACCGGGCACUCGUUCCAAAUGCAGAGAGAAAAAGUUGAAAAUUGCCACGAGCGGCUCAGAGAAAGGAAGAGCAGUCGCUGGCACAUGGAAGGCCCGAUGGAUGGGAAAAUUAUUUACCGUUCCUGGCGUCGGAUGUUUUUGUUACCCAGCUAAGUAGAUUCUAAAUUUCAAAUUAAGAUCUUGAAAAGUUCCUGGCAGAUUAAUAAAUCACACUAACUGCU
This is a non-coding RNA of Macaca mulatta (Rhesus monkey), 1035 nucleotides long. Lineage: Eukaryota; Metazoa; Chordata; Mammalia; Primates; Cercopithecidae. The record is from RefSeq and is a predicted model, not a curated record.